CAAAGAAAGGCCCCUAGAUCGAGCCCUGCUGGCAAGGGGGCCCGUGAGGAAGACCUUACGGCUGCAGCACGCACGAGGGAUGGGACAUGCUGCCCACGGUCAGGAGCCGGGCCGCUCUGUCUCCUGACCGGCAGGCAAGGCCCGGGGACCAGACCUUCUGGGGCUGGCCCAGUGCCCCAGCCACAUCCUUGGCCGCGCGUGCGACAUGCUGCCGCUUCAAGUGCAAGCGGACGACGGGACCGAAGCCGACUCGGGCUGGGGUUUGCAGCCUCGCGGGGCUUCUGUGGGGACGUGUGGCGAACAGAAGGUGAGAGAGAGAGAGCACAGACUCGCGGUUCUCAUUCCGUGGUUUAUUUCCUCCCGUGGGGUUUUGCUCGUCUUUAUUGAAGCCCAGGCUGGGUUUUUGGUUCGGGGUGGUGCUUUUUGUCUGUGACCAGGGCCUGCGCGCUCAGGGACUCGGGUUGUCCUUGCACGACUCGCAGAGGGCACUCUUGUGAUCUGAGGAGCCCUCCUGCCCCUCGUCCCCUUCGGGGGCCUCGUUUGGGGCCGUGACUGGAAGGGCCACCAGGAGGAUGGAGGAAAAGGUGGUGUACAGAGACAGCACCGAGCCGUACGCUGGGCAAACCGGGAGGCUGGUGGGCACUUGCUCUGCACUGUCACUUCCGGCGGUAGCCGGGGGCACCAACGUGACAUUCCUGGACGUGCCCUCCCCACUGGGGCCACCUUGCUCACGGAGGGGCUGGUGUGCCCCGGCCUGCCCGGCUACACUGCUCCUGGACCAGAGGCCAGAGAACGUGAAAGCCCGGGUGGCACCGGGCCCCUGAGCACUGGGAGCUUCCUUCGGGGCCUUGGAGCCGGCAGCCUCCUUGGUGGGAUCCUGGGGGCGGAAGCCUCGCUCCCUGGAUGUUCUCGACAAGCAGAGGCUUGUCUCUCUGGAAGUUGGAGUUGCGGUAGAUCUGAAACGAGAGGAGUCAGGUUAGCCGUUCCGGGAGAAAAGAGGCACCCUCCCCCGAGGGCCCGCAGGAGCUGGGGGUCAGAGGCCUCCGCCACGCCUGGCACGAGCUCACGCCACCCGGGCCCAGGUGUUCACCUAGCUGCCUGCCACCAAGUGGCCCCCCAGGAUCUGUGCCCCCCCCCCCCCCGGGG
RNAcentral lists this long non-coding RNA (1146 nucleotides) under Sus scrofa (pig). RNAcentral's name for it is "lncRNA (ENSSSCG00005029499.1)". Lineage: Eukaryota; Metazoa; Chordata; Mammalia; Artiodactyla; Suidae. The record is from RNAcentral.